UGGGGAAUAUUGGACAAUGGGCGCAAGCCUGAUCCAGCCAUGCCGCGUGAGUGAUGAAGGCCUUAGGGUUGUAAAGCUCUUUCGCCGGUGAAGAUAAUGACGGUAACCGGAGAAGAAGCCCCGGCUAACUUCGUGCCAGCAGCCGCGGUAAUACGAAGGGGGCUAGCGUUGCUCGGAAUCACUGGGCGUAAAGCGCACGUAGGCGGAUCGUUAAGUCAGGGGUGAAAUCCUGGAGCUCAACUCCAGAACUGCCCUUGAUACUGGCGAUCUCGAGUUCGAGAGAGGUUGGUGGAACUCCGAGUGUAGAGGUGAAAUUCGUAGAUAUUCGGAAGAACACCAGUGGCGAAGGCGGCCAACUGGCUCGAUACUGACGCUGAGGUGCGAAAGCGUGGGGAGCAAAACAGGAUUAGAUACCCUGGUAGUCCACGCCAUAAACGAUGGAUGCUAGCCGUUGGGGGGUUUACCUCUCAGUGGCGCAGCUAACGCCUUAAGCAUCCCGCCUGGGGAGUACGGUCGCAAGAUUAAAACUCAAAUGAAUUGACGGGGUCAUAGCUGUUUCCU
RNAcentral lists this ribosomal RNA (561 nucleotides) under uncultured bacterium. RNAcentral's name for it is "partial 16S ribosomal RNA". It matches the Rfam family "Bacterial small subunit ribosomal RNA", at positions 355 to 1375 of the family's 1533-position model. The record is from RNAcentral.